RNAcentral lists this transfer RNA (74 nucleotides) under Saliterribacillus persicus. RNAcentral describes it as "Sediminibacillus sp. X4B(2010) tRNA". It matches the Rfam family "tRNA". From Rfam's summary of the family: Transfer RNA (tRNA) molecules are approximately 80 nucleotides in length. Their secondary structure includes four short double-helical elements and three loops (D, anti-codon, and T loops). Lineage: Bacteria; Bacillati; Bacillota; Bacilli; Caryophanales; Bacillaceae. The record is from Rfam by way of RNAcentral.
GGUCCGGUAGUUCAGUUGGUUAGAAUGCCUGCCUGUCACGCAGGAGGUCGCGGGUUCAAGUCCCGUCCGGACCG